CCCUUAGACGUUCUGGGCCGCACGCGCGCUACACUGACCAGUGCAAUAAGCAUCCGUCCUUGGCCGACAGGCCCGGGCAAUCUUUGAACGCUGGUCGUGAUGGGGAUAGACUUUUGCAAUUUUUGGUCUUCAACGAGGAAUUCCUAGUAAACGCAAGUCAUCAACUUGCAUUGAUUACGUCCCUGCCCUUUGUACACACCGCCCGUCGCACCUACCGAUUGAAUGGUCCGGUGAAGCCUCCGGAUUGGCGCGCACCUCGGUGCCGCCGAGAAGUUGGCUAAACCUUACCAUUUAGAGGAAGGUGAAGUCGUAACA
This 315-nucleotide ribosomal RNA is filed under the name uncultured eukaryote. RNAcentral's name for it is "partial 18S ribosomal RNA". It matches the Rfam family "Eukaryotic small subunit ribosomal RNA", at positions 1470 to 1796 of the family's 1831-position model. The record is from RNAcentral.